AUGAACGCUGGCGGCGUGCCUAAUACAUGCAAGUCGAACGAGGUGCUUUUGUAGCAAUACGAGAGUAUCCUAGUGGCGAACGGGUGAGUAACGCGUUGGUGACCUACCCCAAAGUGUGGGAUAACAGUCCGAAAGGAUUGCUAAUACCGCAUGUGGUCAUUGGAUUUAGAAACUGAUGACUAAAGGAGCAAUUCGCUUUGGGAGGGACCUGCGUCCCAUCAGCUAGUUGGUGAGGUAACGGCUCACCAAGGCGACGACGGGUAGGGGACCUGAGAGGGUGGCCCCCCACAAUGGAACUGAAACACGGUCCAUACACCUACGGGUGGCAGCAGUAGGGAAUAUUGCACAAUGGGCGAAAGCCUGAUGCAGCAACGCCGCGUGUGUGAUGAAGGCCUUCGGGUCGUAAAGCACUUUUCUGGGAGAUGAGAAAGGACAGUAUCCCAGGAAUAAGUCUCGGCUAACUACGUGCCAGCAGCCGCGGUAAAACGUAGGAGGCAAGCGUUAUCCGGAUUCACUGGGCGUAAAGCGCGUGCAGGUGGUGUGGUAAGUUAGGCGUGAAAUCUCCCGGCUCAACUGGGAGAGGUCGUCUAAUACUACCGUACUAGAGAGCAGAAGAGGAAGAUGGAAUUCCCGGUGUAGUGGUGAAAUGCGUAGAUAUCGGGAGGAACACCAGUGGCGAAGGCGAUCUUCUGGUCUGUUUCUGACACUCAGACGCGACAGCUAGGGUAGUAAACGGGAUUAGAGACCCCGGUAAUCCUAGCCGUAAACGAUGUGAACUUGGCGUUGGUGGGUUAAACUCCAUCAGUGCCGUAGCAAACGCGAUAAGUUCACCGCCUGGG
This 839-nucleotide ribosomal RNA is filed under the name uncultured bacterium. RNAcentral describes it as "bacterial SSU rRNA". It matches the Rfam family "Bacterial small subunit ribosomal RNA", at positions 29 to 877 of the family's 1533-position model. The record is from RNAcentral.